ACUAUAAAUGGUAAUUCCUUUACUCUGACUAAAUAUCUUAGCAAAAACUAAUUCUGAUUCUACAAAUUUGCAUCAAAAUUGCAUCAAUCUCUUGUUCCUCUCAAAGAUUUUUGAAAUUAACACUGUUCAAAUUGUCAUAACAUAUUUUAUUCGAUCUUUUAGUUGAUGUUCUGCCUAAAAUAAAAUCUAGAUACUAAUAAUAUUUGGAUUUCCUUGUCUUAGGGCCACAAAAAAUGGAUUACCGG
This 245-nucleotide unclassified non-coding RNA is filed under the name Hevea brasiliensis (rubber tree). The record is from RNAcentral. Lineage: Eukaryota; Viridiplantae; Streptophyta; Magnoliopsida; Malpighiales; Euphorbiaceae.